RNAcentral lists this ribosomal RNA (433 nucleotides) under uncultured bacterium. RNAcentral describes it as "bacterial SSU rRNA". It matches the Rfam family "Bacterial small subunit ribosomal RNA", at positions 355 to 786 of the family's 1533-position model. The record is from RNAcentral.
UGAGGAAUAUUGGUCAAUGGGCGGGAGCCUGAACCAGCCAAGCCGCGUGAGGGAGGAAGGCCCUAUGGGUCGUAAACCUCUUUUGUCAGGGAACAAAAGCGAGUAUGUAUACUAGUCUGAGUGUACCUGAAGAAAAAGCAUCGGCUAACUCCGUGCCAGCAGCCGCGGUAAUACGGAGGAUGCGAGCGUUAUCCGGAUUUAUUGGGUUUAAAGGGUGCGUAGGCGGCGGUGCAAGUCAGCGGUAAAAGCCCGGGGCUCAACCCCGGCGAGCCGUUGAAACUGCAGUGCUAGAGAAGGCGAGAGGUACGCGGAAUGCGCAGUGUAGCGGUGAAAUGCUUAGAUAUUGCGCAGAACUCCGAUUGCGAAGGCAGCGUACUGGCGCCUGACUGACGCUGAGGCACGAAAGCGUGGGGAUCGAACAGGAUUAGAUACC